UAAUACGGAGGGUGCGAGCGUUGUCCGGAAUCACUGGGCGUAAAGGGCGCGUAGGUGGCGUCGCAAGUCAACGGUGAAAGCUCGACGCUCAACGUCGAGUCGGCCGUCGAUACUGCGAGGCUGGAGCACUGUAGAGGCAGAUGGAAUUCCGGGUGUAGCGGUGGAAUGCGUAGAGAUCCGGAAGAACACCGGUGGCGAAGGCGGUCUGCUGGGCAGUUGCUGACACUGAGGCGCGACAGCGUGGGGAGCAAACAGAUUAGAUACCCUGGUAGUCCACGCCGUAAACGAUGGGCACUAGGUGCUUGGGGGAGCGACCCCCUGAGUGCCGACGCUAACGCAUUAAGUGCCCCGCCUGGGGAGUACGGCCGCAAGGCU
RNAcentral lists this ribosomal RNA (375 nucleotides) under uncultured bacterium. RNAcentral's name for it is "bacterial SSU rRNA". It matches the Rfam family "Bacterial small subunit ribosomal RNA", at positions 521 to 895 of the family's 1533-position model. The record is from RNAcentral.